UUAGAGAGCUUGCUUUUUAAGCUUAGUGGCGAACGGGUGAGUAACGCGUGAGUAACCUGCCCUAGAGUGGGGGACAGCAGUUGGAAACGACUGCUAAUACCGCAUAAGCCCACGGUACCGCAUGGUACUGAGGGAAAAGGAUUUAUUCGCUUUAGGAUGGACUCGCGUCCAAUUAGCUAGUUGGUGAGGUAACGGCCCACCAAGGCGACGAUUGGUAGCCGGACUGAGAGGUUGAACGGCCACAUUGGGACUGAGACACGGCCCAGACUCCUACGGGAGGCAGCAGUGGGGGAUAUUGCACAAUGGGGGAAACCCUGAUGCAGCGACGCCGCGUGGAGGAAGAAGGUUUUCGGAUUGUAAACUCCUGUCGUUAGGGACGAUAAUGACGGUACCUAACAAGAAAGCACCGGCUAACUACGUGCCAGCAGCCGCGGUAAAACGUAGGGUGCAAGCGUUGUCCGGAAUUACUGGGUGUAAAGGGAGCGCAGGCGGGAAGACAAGUUGGAAGUGAAAACCAUGGGCUCAACCCAUGAAUUGCUUUNCAAACUGUUUUUCUUGAG
RNAcentral lists this ribosomal RNA (560 nucleotides) under uncultured Lachnospiraceae bacterium. Its description in RNAcentral is "bacterial SSU rRNA". It matches the Rfam family "Bacterial small subunit ribosomal RNA", at positions 71 to 646 of the family's 1533-position model. The record is from RNAcentral. Lineage: Bacteria; Bacillati; Bacillota; Clostridia; Lachnospirales; Lachnospiraceae.